AAAGUCGUAACAAGGUUUCCGUAGGUGAACCUGCGGAAGGAUCAUUAAUGAAUAUAAGGGUACUCUCUCUCAUCAGAGAGGCCCGACCUUCAUUCUUCUACACUGUGAACUAUAAUCCUUCUCAAUUGUUACUGGCCUGUGAAUUCAGGACAGUUCUAAUUGAGAAUCAUUUUUAAACUCUAUCAAGUCUAUGAAUGUAAACCUAUAAAAACAAAAGAAAAACUUUCAACAACGGAUCUCUUGGCUCUC
Molecule: unclassified non-coding RNA, 249 nt
Filed under: fungal sp.
Lineage: Eukaryota; Fungi
Description: partial contains small subunit ribosomal RNA, internal transcribed spacer 1, and 5.8S ribosomal RNA
Rfam family: Eukaryotic small subunit ribosomal RNA (bases 1-47)
Source: RNAcentral